UACGAAGGGGGCUAGCGUUGCUCGGAAUCACUGGGCGUAAAGCGCACGUAGGCGGCUUUUUAAGUCAGGGGUGAAAUCCUGGAGCUCAACUCCAGAACUGCCUUUGAUACUGGGAAGCUUGAGUCCGGGAGAGGUGAGUGGAACUCCGAGUGUAGAGGUGAAAUUCGUAGAUAUUGGGAGGAACACCAGUGGCGAAGGCGGCUCACUGGACCGGUUCUGACGCUGAGGCGCGAAAGCGUGGGGAGCAAACGGG
This 253-nucleotide ribosomal RNA is filed under the name uncultured bacterium. RNAcentral describes it as "partial 16S ribosomal RNA". It matches the Rfam family "Bacterial small subunit ribosomal RNA", at positions 524 to 776 of the family's 1533-position model. The record is from RNAcentral.